Molecule: ribosomal RNA, 476 nt
Filed under: uncultured organism
Description: partial 16S ribosomal RNA
Rfam family: Bacterial small subunit ribosomal RNA
Source: RNAcentral
GUACACUCCUGCGGGAGGCAGCAGUGGGGAAUUUUGGACAAUGGGCGAAAGCCUGAUCCAGCAAUGCCGCGUGAGUGAAGAAGGCCUUCGGGUUGUAAAGCUCUUUUGUCAGGGAAGAAACGGUGAAAGCUAAUAUCUUUUGCUAAUGACGGUACCUGAAGAAUAAGCACCGGCUAACUACGUGCCAGCAGCCGCGGUAAUACGUAGGGUGCAAGCGUUAAUCGGAAUUACUGGGCGUAAAGCGUGCGCAGGCGGUUUUGUAAGUCUGAUGUGAAAUCCCCGGGCUCAACCUGGGAAUUGCAUUGGAGACUGCAAGGCUAGAAUCUGGCAGAGGGGGGUAGAAUUCCACGUGUAGCAGUGAAAUGCGUAGAUAUGUGGAGGAACACCGAUGGCGAAGGCAGCCCCCUGGGUCAAGAUUGACGCUCAUGCACGAAAGCGUGGGGAGCAAACAGGAUUAGAUACCCCUGUAGUCCCAU